AAGACCCCAAGUAGACUACUUGGUUGAUAGGUCGGAGGUGUAAGGGCAGUAAUGUCUUUAGCUGACCGAUACUAAUAGGUCGAGGACUUGACCAA
This 95-nucleotide ribosomal RNA is filed under the name Anaerosolibacter carboniphilus. RNAcentral's name for it is "Bacterial large subunit ribosomal RNA". It matches the Rfam family "Bacterial large subunit ribosomal RNA", at positions 2830 to 2925 of the family's 2925-position model. Lineage: Bacteria; Bacillati; Bacillota; Clostridia; Peptostreptococcales; Thermotaleaceae. The record is from Rfam by way of RNAcentral.